ACGGAUGGAGCGGCGGAAAUCUCCUCCACUUGACUUUCUCUCUCUUUUCAAAAUUGGGAGACAACUAGCAAAAAUAUGAAAAAAAAUGCAUCCAUUUCUCUUUUCAAUAUACAUUUUUCUUCAUGGUCUCUUUACAAUACCACAUUUUUUUCUCAGGAAGAACUCAUCUCCAUAUUCUUCUUAAUCACCUUUAUAAAUCUUCUUAAUCACCUUUAUAAAUCACCCUCCUAUUUUCCUUCUCCAUUAACCAACCGGAAAACACGAAACCAACCGUGAAACCAUCUCCAAAACCUCAACCGAAUCCCACCGUGAAACAACUAUAAGCAUCACCUCCCUUAGCAAACAACCGUUGGCUCCGUUGCUUUCUCUUCCGGCGAAACAGAAUCACCUCGUCGGUAGCUUUCCCUUCUGAAUCCCUUGCAUUUUUCUUACUUUCAUGUUAUAGUUUUUAUUGUUGUGAUUUAUUACGUUAUUUUCGUUCUCAUGGUCAUUUGGUUGAAACGGUUUAUCGGUUUUAUUUGAAACUGGAUUUUUUGGAAAGGCUUGAUUUUGCUUUAAAACAAAUUGAAAUAUUUGAUAUUGAUGUGUGAACUUGAGUUUUGUUGUGUUAUGUAUUGGAUUUUUGAAUCAAUGAAUGCUUGUUGAUGCUUUGGGAUUUAAACAUGGAGAGAGUUUGAUUUUGAGAUCAUAACAAGAAAGAGUGUUGUGUUACUGUGUUUUGUUUAUUUUCUCUAAAAUCUCAGCCACGUGUCACCAUGCCAUUUGAUACCCUUUAAAUUUUUAAAAAAGAUGGAGGCUAAAUGAGUUGAAUGGGGUACUGCCAUCUACAAUGCAGUAUUUUUUUUUAUUACCUUUCUUUUAUAAUUAUUUUUUUACUUUUUUUAUAUUAUUUAUUUUUAUUUAUAUAUGACUAAUUAGGAUUAAUAUUGACUAUUGGGUUGUGCCUAAUUUGUUUCUAAUGUUUACACCCUCUCGUUCAUGUUGCACCUUUGUUUUUUCUUUUCUUUUUUGAUUUGAUUAUAAUUGAUUUAUCAUAUCUUACUUACUUAAUUAUAUUAUUUUUAAUUACUAAUUAAUUUAUUAAAU
This 1086-nucleotide long non-coding RNA is filed under the name Lathyrus oleraceus (garden pea). Its description in RNAcentral is "Pisum sativum (pea) long non-coding RNA (PSAT_LNC027675)". The record is from RNAcentral. Lineage: Eukaryota; Viridiplantae; Streptophyta; Magnoliopsida; Fabales; Fabaceae.